Molecule: ribosomal RNA, 223 nt
Filed under: uncultured Staphylococcus sp.
Lineage: Bacteria; Bacillati; Bacillota; Bacilli; Caryophanales; Staphylococcaceae
Description: partial 16S ribosomal RNA
Rfam family: Bacterial small subunit ribosomal RNA
Source: RNAcentral
UGGGAUAACUUCGGGAAACCGGAGCUAAUACCGGAUAAUAUAUUGAACCGCAUGGUUCAAUAGUGAAAGACGGUUUUGCUGUCACUUAUAGAUGGAUCCGCGCCGCAUUAGCUAGUUGGUAAGGUAACGGCUUACCAAGGCAACGAUGCGUAGCCGACCUGAGAGGGUGAUCGGCCACACUGGAACUGAGACACGGUCCAGACUCCUACGGGAGGCAGCAGCU